This 253-nucleotide ribosomal RNA is filed under the name uncultured bacterium. RNAcentral describes it as "partial 16S ribosomal RNA". It matches the Rfam family "Bacterial small subunit ribosomal RNA", at positions 524 to 776 of the family's 1533-position model. The record is from RNAcentral.
UACAGAGGGUGCGAGCGUUAAUCGGAAUUACUGGGCGUAAAGCGCACGUAGGUGGCGACGUAAGUCGGGUGUGAAAGCCCCGGGCUCAACCUGGGAAUUGCAUUCGAGACUGCAUUGCUGGAGUACGGAAGAGGAGGGCGGAAUUCCCGGUGUAGCGGUGAAAUGCGUAGAUAUCGGGAGGAACAUCAGUGGCGAAGGCGGCCCUGUGGUCCAGUACUGACACUCAAGUGCGAAAGCGUGGGGAGAAAGCAGG